GGUAGCAGUCCUCAUUUUAAUUGUGCUUCCAUAAUUCUUGUCUUUCAAUUGACUCUUGUUACAUAUUCGAAAGAAUGGUCAAUGGAUUGCUACACCAGGAAGCAACCAUGAAACUUGAAGCUAUGAAGUGCUUAGUGGAUAUUUUAAAAUCAGUGGGAAACUGGAUGAACAGACAGUUGCACAAUCUGGAUCCUUAUUCUUCUUAUGGAUUUGAAACUGUUCAAAACAUUCCUGAAGUUGGAAGUAUCCCCAUGGCAAUUGUGAAAGGGGAUGAGCCUGCUGAAGGAUCAGAUUCUCGUUCUGAAGCCUCUAAUGAAGCUUCUGAUAUUCCAAAAGAAGAAAGUUCGAAACCAUCUGUUUCUGAUGUUGACACAAAAAAGUGAAAAACAAUGGAUUUCUUGUGGUUAAAGAUAGCGACAGUAAUGGUGUUGAGGUUCAUUAUAUGG
Hibiscus syriacus is the source of this 446-nucleotide long non-coding RNA. RefSeq lists it as uncharacterized. The transcript is spliced from 3 exons. Lineage: Eukaryota; Viridiplantae; Streptophyta; Magnoliopsida; Malvales; Malvaceae. The record is from RefSeq and is a predicted model, not a curated record.